Molecule: non-coding RNA, 89 nt
Filed under: Tenuibacillus multivorans
Lineage: Bacteria; Bacillati; Bacillota; Bacilli; Caryophanales; Bacillaceae
Description: c-di-GMP-I riboswitch aptamer
Rfam family: c-di-GMP-I riboswitch aptamer
About the family: GEMM was predicted in a large-scale screen for bacterial structured RNA regulatory elements.
Source: Rfam by way of RNAcentral
AUCCGAUAAUGGCAAACUUAUCGAAAGAUAGGGACGCAAAGCCACGGGUCUACGGUCCUAUAAUAGACUAAGAUCGCCGGGUUACCGAA